Molecule: ribosomal RNA, 482 nt
Filed under: uncultured bacterium
Lineage: Bacteria
Description: partial 16S ribosomal RNA
Rfam family: Bacterial small subunit ribosomal RNA
Source: RNAcentral
AUUGAACGCUGGCGGCAUGCUUUACACAUGCCAGUCGAACGGUAACAGGCCGCAAGGUGCUGACGAGUGGCGAACGGGUGAGUAAUGCAUCGGAACGUGCCCAGUCGUGGGGGAUAACUACUCGAAAGAGUAGCUAAUACCGCAUACGAUCUAUGGAUGAAAGCGGGGGACCGUAAGGCCUCGCGCGAUUGGAGCGGCCGAUGUCAGAUUAGGUAGUUGGUGGGGUAAAGGCUCACCAAGCCAACGAUCUGUAGCUGGUCUGAGAGGACGACCAGCCACACUGGGACUGAGACACGGCCAAGACUCCUAAGGGAGGCAGCAGUGGGGAAUGUUGGACAAUGGGCGCAAGCCUGAUCCAGCAAUGCCGCGUGCAGGAAGAAGGCCUUCGGGUUGUAAACUGCUUUUGUACGGAACGAAACGGCUCUGGUUAAUACCCGGGGCUAAUGACGGUACCGUAAGAAUAAGCACCGGCUAACUACGUG